This 450-nucleotide ribosomal RNA is filed under the name uncultured bacterium. Its description in RNAcentral is "partial 16S ribosomal RNA". It matches the Rfam family "Bacterial small subunit ribosomal RNA", at positions 354 to 796 of the family's 1533-position model. The record is from RNAcentral.
GUGGGGAAUUUUGGACAAUGGGCGCAAGCCUGAUCCAGCCAUGCCGCGUGCAGGAUGAAGGCCUUCGGGUUGUAAACUGCUUUUGUACGGAACGAAAAGACUUCUUCUAAUACAGGAGGUCCAUGACGGUACCGUAAGAAUAAGCACCGGCUAACUACGUGCCAGCAGCCGCGGUAAUACGUAGGGUGCAAGCGUUAAUCGGAAUUACUGGGCGUAAAGCGUGCGCAGGCGGUUAUAUAAGACAGAUGUGAAAUCCCCGGGCUCAACCUGGGAACUGCAUUUGUGACUGUAUAGCUAGAGUACGGUAGAGGGGGAUGGAAUUCCGCGUGUAGCAGUGAAAUGCGUAGAUAUGCGGAGGAACACCGAUGGCGAAGGCAAUCCCCUGGACCUGUACUGACGCUCAUGCACGAAAGCGCGGGGAGCAAACAGGAUUAGAUACCCGAGUAGUCC